GAGGGUGUAGCUCAGUGGUAAAGAGAGUGCUUAGCAUGCACAAGGUCCUGGGUUCAAUUCCCAGUUCCUCUA
RNAcentral lists this transfer RNA (72 nucleotides) under Camelus bactrianus (Bactrian camel). It matches the Rfam family "tRNA". From Rfam's summary of the family: Transfer RNA (tRNA) molecules are approximately 80 nucleotides in length. Their secondary structure includes four short double-helical elements and three loops (D, anti-codon, and T loops). The record is from Rfam by way of RNAcentral. RNAcentral also lists the same sequence under 2 other names. Lineage: Eukaryota; Metazoa; Chordata; Mammalia; Artiodactyla; Camelidae.